Molecule: long non-coding RNA, 2106 nt
Filed under: Daucus carota (carrot)
Lineage: Eukaryota; Viridiplantae; Streptophyta; Magnoliopsida; Apiales; Apiaceae
Description: long non-coding RNA (DCAR_LNC005331)
Source: RNAcentral
GCUGUUAAAUAAAACGAACUAAAUUACAAUAUCAUCAUAACCAAUCCAUGUACUCCCUGCUACUGAAUAAGUAGAGACAGUUGCGGCGUCAUGUGUCACAGCAGCCUUAUUUGCCAGGUUGUGAUUCUCUAUUUCAGAGAAUUUUAGUACAGUAUGCCUUCUGCCGCUGGACCUAUACCCAUAGCUGGGGCUCCAAGUCAGCUCACUUCCGGAUCUUUCAGGCUCCAAGUCUUCCCCUAAAGUGGCAAGCCCAUGAUCACUUUUCUUCUUGGAACCCCGGCUUUGAUCCAGGACUUGAGGCCAUAACAGGUGCUCAAGUUCCCUGUUAAAUCUAAUAGUGCUGCAUGGCUUCCAGUGUCAUUUCGCGUCCACUUACCAUAAUAGUCAUAAUUCAUUGCAUUGAUCCAAUCCAUAUUUUUGCUAAUUGAAGCUCUAGGGUAUUUUACUGGAAUCCCAGUAAAAUUACCAUUGGCAUAAUAGUAUGCAGCAGCAGCAAGUAACAACUGAGGCUUAUAUGUAGCUUUAGCCUCUUUUUUCACCCCAGCUCUCCAUUCAUGUAUUAACAUCCCAAAACUUGGAAUGCACCCUUUAGUCUUUGAUGUUUGAGUAACUUGUAUGCUUCAUCAAACUUUUCCCGCCAGGCCAUAUUCCAUAAUCAUGGUGUUAUAAGCAUAUGCACAUGGAACUUUCCUGUUCAGCUCCAUUUGCUCAUACAUAUUCACAGCUUCGUCCUAUUUAAGCUUUUGUCUUUAAGUUUAUGAAAUAUUCAAAUAUAUUAAUAUUAUACAUUAAUAUUUAUAUAAAUUCUUUAACACACUUAUAGAUUACAUAAAUAGUAAAAUGUGAGACAUUUUAGUCCAUCACAAUAUAUAGUUUCAAAUUAUAAUUUCACUUAUUUAAAUUAUUGAUUAUUAAUAAGUUAUAAUAACCGAAGUUUGGUUAAAUCUUUUCAUUCAUUCCUAAAUUAUAUUUUUAAUAUAAACUUAAGAAAUAAAAAUGAAAGUUAUAACAAAAUGUGAGACAAAGCAAAAGUGCAGCAUCAACCCGCCCCUCCCUACACAUCAUCAUAUAGAAAAUUCAUGAAUUGCCUUUUUAUGACUCAUUAACCCGCUAUAUAGAUUCAAUUUUGGAAGGAACUGUCCAAGGGAAAAAAAAAUCCCCUAUCUCACUACCAAACCUCCUCCUUUCUUAUUUCAUUAACUCAAUUUAAUAUUAUAUUCUUUAAUUUUAUAAAGAUUACCUUUCCUAAUAAGAAAUAUUAGUGGUCAUUGGAGUUGAAACUUUUCAAUAGAAAUAUAACAUUUUUAAAGAUGCCAAAAAACCUUACCUUUUUCACGCUUUUGGUAAUUAAUUUGAAGGUUCCUGGUAUGUCGGCAUUCUGAGACAAAUGAAGAGUAGAGUUCUGAAAUAGAAUGCAUUUCGUAGAUGACUUAAAACGGCUUGUAGAAGAAAGUAUUACUUUAAGCAAUAAGUCACUUCUUUUAAGCCCAAUCCCCUAUCUCACUACCAAACCUCCUCCUUUCUUAUUUCAUUAACUCAAUUUAAUAUUAUAUUCUUUAAUUUUAUAAAGAUUACCUUUCCUAAUAAGAAAUAUUAGUGGUCAUUGGAGUUGAAACUUUUCAAAUGGCUAUAGAUGAGGCAUAGAACUUUUCCAUGAGCGAGAAGAAGCUGAGAAAAUCCUAAAAGAACCAAAAAAAAGAAUAUGAUGCACGUCAAAUGUGUAAAUUAUUGAAAUUGCUAAACACUUUAACAAUUACAUAGAAAACUCGGGAGCAGGCUUAAGUCAUUUCAUAUCCACUGUCAAAAUCUUGUGGUCUCACUGUUAAUUCAAUUGAUCUUACAACUACAAAAAACACUCUUAGGUAUAGGCUGUUAAAUAAAACGAACUAAAUUACAAUAUCAUCAUAACCAAUCCAUGUACUCCCUGCUACUGAAUAAGUAGAGACAGUUGCGGCGUCAUGUGUCACAGCAGCCUUAUUUGCCAGGUUGUGAUUCUCUAUUUCAGAGAAUUUUAGUACAGUAUGCCUUCUGCCGCUGGACCUAUACCCAUAGCUGGGGCUCCAAGUCAGCUCACUUCCGGAUCUUUCAGGCUCCAAGUCUUCCCCU